UAUUCUUCCAGAUACUAAACAGCUAAACCAAACCCACAGAGCACAAUGGAUAGAGCAAAAAUAGGGGACCUAACAACGUAAACUAGCUCCAUGAUUCUUGUCUGGCUGACCCUGGCUGACUUCUGACUUGGUGCUGGGGCAGGAGUUAGCUACACACAAUCUCCUUCCCGUUUCUCCCACUGGGAGGAAACAUGGAAAGAAAAGAAGAAAAAUAGCAGCACUUUUCCAUAGGUGUCCUUGCCUGGACAAUCAAGGACCAGCUCUGUGGUGUACAUGAUGAAGAGGAACAAUCUCAACAUUUUAGAUCUGGUGACGUGAACUCCUAAUUAGCAGAGAAAAAAGAAACAUGCUUUGACACUUUAUUUGCAUCCUGUAGCAACCAAAGUCCCUCUGAGUACAAGUGGGAGGCAGAACCGUGAGGACAAGCUCUGGGAAUUGCACUGUGAAGUGGGGUGCUUUGGAGUGGAUGCCGUCUGUAUUGGCCUCAGAGAGAACUUCAGUGCUGACAGGAAUUUGGUGAUCAGACCAGGGAUGAAGCUGAGCCUAAGGAAGACCAGACGGAUGUGAUACUGGUGGGCAGAGGAAAGUGCUAUGAGGCAUCUGCAGCCACUCUGCUAUCUCCUCUAACUGAAGGUACGUGCCCUCAUUUCAGACUGUAGUU
Molecule: long non-coding RNA, 661 nt
Filed under: Struthio camelus australis
Lineage: Eukaryota; Metazoa; Chordata; Aves; Struthioniformes; Struthionidae
Description: lncRNA (ENSSCUG00000014675.1)
Source: RNAcentral